GUGUUUGGCUCAGUAGUGCACAUACGAAAAUUGAAUUGAGAGCGAGAUUAGCAGGGCCCCUGUGCAUGGAUGACACGCAAAUCCAUAAAACUUUCCAUAUUUUA
Small nuclear RNA from Rattus norvegicus (Norway rat), 104 nucleotides. NCBI's taxonomy places the organism in Eukaryota, Metazoa, Chordata, Mammalia, Rodentia, Muridae. The record is from Ensembl.